RNAcentral lists this ribosomal RNA (486 nucleotides) under uncultured bacterium. RNAcentral's name for it is "partial 16S ribosomal RNA". It matches the Rfam family "Bacterial small subunit ribosomal RNA", at positions 30 to 507 of the family's 1533-position model. The record is from RNAcentral.
AUUGAACGCUGGCGGCAUGCCUUACACAUGCAAGUCGAACGGCAGCACGGGUGCUUGCACCUGGUGGCGAGUGGCGAACGGGUGAGUAAUACAUCGGAACAUGUCCUGUAGUGGGGGAUAGCCCGGCGAAAGCCGGAUUAAUACCGCAUACGAUCUACGGAUGAAAGCGGGGGACCUUCGGGCCUCGCGCUAUAGGGUUGGCCGAUGGCUGAUUAGCUAGUUGGUGGGGUAAAGGCCUACCAAGGCGACGAUCAGUAGCUGGUCUGAGAGGACGACCAGCCACACUGGGACUGAGACACGGCCCAGACUCCUACGGGAGGCAGCAGUGGGGAAUUUUGGACAACGGGCGAAAGCCAGAUCCAGCAAUGCCGCGUGUGUGAAGAAGGCCUUCGGGUUGUAAAGCACUUUUGUCCGGAAAGAAAUCCUUGGCCCUAAUACGGUCGGGGGAUGACGGUACCGGAAGAAUAAGCACCGGCUAACUACGUG